GGUCAAUGAUGAGAAGUAAAAGGUCUGAUUGCACUGAUUUAUUUUUCCCAACAAACCUAUCAAGCUCCCAGCAGCUUUCUGAUCCCAUCAAGUACUAGUGAUGCUCUGAUUGGUUUAACAAUCUGCUGACAUAUUUGGGUGCCUGCAAACCUACCUUGUUCGAGAUGUGUUCUUUGUGGGUGUUCUGGUAACCUUACAUGUCUCUAUAAAUAAGGAGUUAGGGGUGUGGGUUAAAAUACAAGCAGUGCAUGAUCUGAAGUUUUCAAGCUGAGACC
RNAcentral lists this small nucleolar RNA (275 nucleotides) under Leptobrachium leishanense (Leishan spiny toad). RNAcentral describes it as "Small Cajal body specific RNA 6 (ENSLLEG00000006959.1)". It matches the Rfam family "Small Cajal body specific RNA 6". Rfam says of the family: U88 is small Cajal body specific RNA (scaRNA). scaRNAs are a novel class of small nuclear RNAs which localise to the Cajal bodies. U88 is found associated with both fibrillarin and Gar1p and co-localises with coilin in Cajal bodies. The record is from Rfam by way of RNAcentral. Lineage: Eukaryota; Metazoa; Chordata; Amphibia; Anura; Megophryidae.